Molecule: long non-coding RNA, 895 nt
Organism: Bufo gargarizans (Asiatic toad)
Lineage: Eukaryota; Metazoa; Chordata; Amphibia; Anura; Bufonidae
Exons: 5
Source: RefSeq, a predicted model, not a curated record
CUUGUGUCCACUGCCUCGGAGAGAGGAAUGCCGGGAUAACUAGUCGUGACGUCAGCACGAGAAAUGCUUCCUGGACGAGGAAGAUCACGUGACCGCUAUCUGAAUCGGUGGCCAGAGAUAAGAUCGGCACAGCAAGUAAAUUGGGGCACUUCAAUGCAACAUACAAGUUAUCUUGGCCUGAAAGGUUCCUGUUGUAACUAGCAAGGACUGUACAUUCAUUAAAAUGUGAAGAGCUGUGAACCCAACUGACUUCCACAUUGCUAAGAGCACAGAGAUGAAACAGAACUAUUAAUAUCCUGAACAUAAAAGAAGGCCUCUACUAUUAUAGGGAUUUCAGUCAAUUUAUAUAAAAAAAAAUGAGUGGAGAAAAAAAACUAGUGGGAAGUAAAGAGACAAAACAAAAGUAUCCAUCUACCAACGUCACAUCUACUGCUCUCCUGUAUUGCGGCCUGGCGCUCCUUGACUGGGGAAGGACACGAGCGCUAAAAACAGACUGCCAAUGCACAUUAGUAAGAUGGUGGUGUACUGGAAAACUCUCCGGACCAAAAGACAGAAGAGAACAGCAGUGGACAUGAUGUCAGCAGGAGGACCAUCUUGUUGAGUGGCCAAGAUCAUGUGUUUGGAUUUGCUAUCUACAGAUAAAGACCACAAAGAGCUGGCUGAUAGCUGGAUGGUCUGUAAUACAUUCUAUGGGUGAUGUCCGUGUGAACAUCUCCAAGGAAUAGUUCCUCCACUAGGUGAUCCAGGUUAUGAUAUCAUAACUAACAUCCGUUUUCCAGGGCUUGUCUUCAGGUAUGAUGCCAGGACACGUUUGGUUCACCAACCAUGUUAGGUUCUCAGCCACACUUUCAAUGUGAGGUAUUAUUUGCACAUGAUGAAGUUGGUAAUCGGCCUC